RNAcentral lists this transfer RNA (64 nucleotides) under Semelidae sp. STW-2017. RNAcentral describes it as "tRNA-Ser". The record is from RNAcentral. Lineage: Eukaryota; Metazoa; Mollusca; Bivalvia; Cardiida; Semelidae.
GAUCUUGUUAGGCAUAUAUUAGUCUUGAAAACUAGUUAAAAACGUUCGACUCGUUUAAAGAUCU